This 334-nucleotide ribosomal RNA is filed under the name Blackburnia brevipes. Its description in RNAcentral is "eukaryotic LSU rRNA". It matches the Rfam family "Eukaryotic large subunit ribosomal RNA", at positions 674 to 944 of the family's 3401-position model. The record is from RNAcentral. Lineage: Eukaryota; Metazoa; Arthropoda; Insecta; Coleoptera; Carabidae.
CAUCUAGCAUGUGCGCAAGUCAUUGGGUAUUUAUAAUAAACCUAAAGGCGUAAUGAAAGUGAAUUUGUAUAUAUGUAUAAUUUUUAUUAAUUAUAUAUAUUUUUAUAAAGGGAAGAUGGGUUACGUUAUAUAUGUAACCUCGCAUUCCCGGGGCGUUGCAUACUUAUUGCAAGUUGUGGCGCACCAAGAGCGUACACGCUGGGACCCGAAAGAUGGUGAACUAUGCCUGGUCAGGAUGAAGUCAGGGGAAACCCUGAUGGAGGUCCGUAGCGAUUCUGACGUGCAAAUCGAUCGUAUGAACUGGGUAUAGGGGCGAAAGACUAAUCGAACCAUC